CGCAUUCGAACCGAGCCGAGCCGCGCCCAGCCCAUUAGAGCCGUGCCCCGCACAUCAUUAGAGCCGUGCCCUGCACAUUAGAGCCGUGCCGUGCCACGCUGCCCACGUUUGAGCCGUGCUGUGGUGCACGGUGCGCGCAGCAGAGCGUGGGGCGGGGUGUCUCGUGUUUUGCGUGUGCGUCGCAGUCGCGGGGCGCCGUGUUCUGCGCAUGUGCGUUGGGCGCCGCCAGCCCCGCGGACGGCGGAGUGCAUACACCUUCCUUGAAAAUGCCAUAUCAAGGUCAAUUACUGGAAUUUCAAGACUCCUCCACUGCCUUCAUGUAAAUGUAACAAGAAUGACGUUUAUCACCUGCUUGCAACAAAAAGAAAGAAAGAAUGUGCUGUAAUACUAAAUGCUGUGGAUAAAGAGAAAGAGUGUCCUACUGCUUUGGAAGAGAGAAUUAGAUUUGAUUUUUUGUGGACCAUCAUACAAAUGCAUGGCUUUCCUAUCAAAUGACUGCAUCUCUUCUUCCAAUGGUAUCAAAGCACUAGAUAUAAUUCAAAGGAAAAGGCAGCUUUCUG
RNAcentral lists this long non-coding RNA (560 nucleotides) under Cyanistes caeruleus (blue tit). Its description in RNAcentral is "lncRNA (ENSCCEG00000021042.1)". The record is from RNAcentral. Lineage: Eukaryota; Metazoa; Chordata; Aves; Passeriformes; Paridae.